CGGCGGACGGGUGAGUAACGCGUAGGCAACCUGCCCUUUGCAGAGGGAUAGCCUCGGGAAACCGGGAUUAAAACCUCAUGAUACUGAGAGCCCGCAUGGGCUUUUGGCCAAAGAUUUAUCGGCAGAGGAUGGGCCUGCGUCUGAUUAGUUAGUUGGUGGGGUAACGGCCUACCAAGGCGACGAAUCAGUAGCCGACCUGAGAGGGUGAUCGGCCACAUUGGAACUGAGACACGGUCCAAACUCCUACGGGAGGCAGCAG
Molecule: ribosomal RNA, 259 nt
Filed under: uncultured bacterium
Lineage: Bacteria
Description: partial 16S ribosomal RNA
Rfam family: Bacterial small subunit ribosomal RNA
Source: RNAcentral